GCAGAAUUUGGCCUUGUAUUUAGAUUUAAGUAGGAGAACGAAAAGAAAUCUUGUAAAACUGCAAGUCCCAAAUGAAGUGUCCUAUAAGCUCAGAUAAAAGAUUAGUUUUGCUGCCAGUGACAAAGGAUCUCUUGUUCAGUAGCUUCUACCAAAGGAAGUUUUGCACUUCCGUCAUGCCAACUAAAACAAAUACCUGACAUGAGAACGAAACUAUUGGGAAAUGAAAUUUGCCAAAUAAUUUACACAGAUCCAGCUAAAAAGCUGCCUUUUAAAUUACUAAACCAUUGAAUAAAAUAAAAUAUAAAUAUUAGGUAUAUUUGUACAUGGGCAGAGUUAGCUGCUCAACUCCACUGACUUCAGGAGAAAUAGAGUACCAUUAACUCCUUUUGUUGAGGAACUGGAUAGAAAAAAUUCUGCAGCUUUUGUCCAUUAAGUAUAUACAGUGUUUUUUAUAUGUAUGUCAAAUAAGUUCAUGCUUGCUUCAUUGUAUUGCAUGAUGCCGGUUGCAUCAUUCAUUACCUGUUGCUUAUAUUAUAGUAGUUAUCUACUUCUGGUGUAUGUGCACACUACUUAAGAGUCUGGAAACUCAGCCCCACUGCCUAGGUUAUAAUCAAAAUGUAUUCCUCGUUAAGUGUGUAGUUGGUGAAACUGAUUAGGAGCUGUCAAUUUGAAGGCUGCCAUUAGGGCAUAAGGUUCUCUGAUGAACAAGAUAAUGAGCCUUAAUGAUGUGUAAAGAACUUAGGGUGGCUGUUCUUGUAAUUAAUUAGCAUUGUUUAUCUUGACUUCUGGUAAUUUUAUGCCCCAGGUAAAUUCAUAGUAUUUUACAGUCCAAACAUUAUGUACUAAAAACUUUAUGCAUAUGAAACUUUCCCAGUGACCAAAUAUUAAGGAGUAGUCAGUAAAGUUAAUGGAGAAAGUGGGUUCAAACCCCAGGAGUGUUUCAACAGACACUUUUACAUUUUUAAGAAUUUACAUGCUAAGGGGAUGGGAGCAGUAGAAGUACCCGUCACUGCCAUCUAAACUUCAAGUAUCAGGCUUUGUUGGCUGGUUGGGACUAGAGGUCUGGAGUAGCUAUGUUGGGGUUUCAUGGUUGCCACUGUGAUCUCCAGGGUUGACUAGACUUCUGAUCAUUUAAGAGUUUGUAUUUCUAUUUUUCUUUAAAUAUCAGGCAGUUGGCCUGAUUGGGAGGAGUAGGAAAGUGGAACUCAUGAGGAGCACUCAUUAGCCCGGUCACAUAUUAAUUGAUCCAUCCUACUAGAGUGAUUUCUAAUUAUAAAUAUAAUGCACAAUUGUUCUCUCUUCUCCCUUGGUAUUUUGUCAGUCUCGCCACGUGCAAUUCCCCUGUCUGUUCAUUCUACUCUAGGCUAGAAUAUUUCAUAUUUUAUUGUGUGUUAUUUUCCUAAGGUAUGCAAAACCUGCCUCCAAAAGAACCUUGAGCACUCCCAUGAAGGAAAUACUUUUGAAAGGAGGUGCUCCGGAAAUGUCCCUACAUACAAAAAUCUGAAAUAAGUGGUGCCUUUUGAAUUAAGAAAAUCUGCAUCAAGUAAAUCUUACCUGAUCAACUAUCCAACAAAAGGUGACUAAUAAGGGAAGUUUUGUAAAAGAUUAUCCUUUUGACUUAAAAGGGUACACUACACACUGAGCCACUAUGGAGACAAAAUUCAUGAGAUCAUUUUAGAAAAGGAGGAUGAGAAAAUGAACUCAAGUAACAGAAUGUCUUUAUUUUUUUUAUUCCUGUACUCAAAUCAAAUUAUAGACAACUUCUAACAGGACUAAAGUAUUCAUAAUUAUAACCUGUACUUCAAUAUUGUUCUUCAAUUAUAUGUUAUGACAAUAAAACUGAGGCUUGCA
Molecule: long non-coding RNA, 1851 nt
Organism: Alligator sinensis (Chinese alligator)
Lineage: Eukaryota; Metazoa; Chordata; Crocodylia; Alligatoridae
Exons: 3
Source: RefSeq, a predicted model, not a curated record